UCUUCCUCGCCUAACCUUUUCGCUUCUUGUUUCAGUACUCCGUGGAUCAGUCGGUCGCUGACAAGCUGAAGGAGAUUUGUUGCGGCUGAGGCAGGCAAAGAGACAGACAGUUGCUCCCCAAAUGUUUGCUGUUAUUCCCAAGAGGGUAAUAGUACUGAACGACUUAAUUACUUUUGAUGCUUUUAAUUGGUGCAAACAUGUGCAUGGCAAUCGUAGUAUUUUAGUAGUUAUUCAAGAAGAGAAACUUGUCACCAUCAAGGCUUUUGUAGCAUAAAACUUUUCAUUCAUAUCUUGUCUUUUUCAUAUAGAGAUAAUAAUGUGUGAUGUUUUCAAGCUAGUGGCAUGUUUUGAGACCGAGGAACUUGUUCUCUCCUGAGCUUGGGGCUCUAAUUUCCAAGUUGGACUAUGAAUCUUCGCAUUUCAUUAUAUUGGCUAAAAUAAUAAUUUUCAAAUUAACAAAAGCAUUAUGAGGUCAUAAAGUUGAUACUCUUAUGACAUCCAUGAUGAACAAGGAAUUACUAACAUAAAAGUAUUAUUUAGAUAGUUGAUUUUUCUGCAGUAAAUUAAUUUAUUGAGGUAAUACUUCAAUUUUUUUUCAUGCAUCAAACACAUUCCUAUGUUAUUAUGCUCAAUCAAUAUACAAAGUAAAUAUGUCAUAUCUAAUUUAUUUAGAUUAAAAGGUGGAUUAUUAUUGGUG
Molecule: long non-coding RNA, 697 nt
Filed under: Musa acuminata (dwarf banana)
Lineage: Eukaryota; Viridiplantae; Streptophyta; Magnoliopsida; Zingiberales; Musaceae
Description: long non-coding RNA (MACU_LNC006906)
Source: RNAcentral